GGUGGGGUCCAUCUCUGCUCUCAGGUAACGGUAACAGUGAUAGGCUUAGAGGUAAUGGCUUCAAGUUGCACUAGGGAGGUUGGAUAGUAGGAACAAUUCGUUCUCAGAAGGAGUGGUGAUGCAAUGGAGCAGGCUGCCCAGGGAGGUGGUGGGGUCACCGUCCCUGGCCGUGCUAUAGCGUUCAGAAUCCACGGAGAUGUGGCACUGAGGGGCGGCCGUUACUCCCCUCGGGGGGCGGAAAAAGCGCGGGCGCUGCGCUGAGGGGAGGCGGGACUGAGGCGCUCCGCUCCCGCCUGAUGCGGCCGGUGACACCCGGCCCUUUCCCGGCGUUCUGUCACAAGUGCGUCUCUGUGGCGUCAGGAGAGCUGCGCCCCGCGGGUGUUCCUCUCUCAUCCUCUGUGUGUUCAGUUUUGGUCUGCUUCCCCUCAAGGCCUGAGCAUGAGGUGGGGCAGUGCCAGGCUCCCAUUUGCUGCAAGAGGUGAAGCGAGCCCAGAGCAGCAGGUGCUAUUGAGCUAGCUCUGAUAUUACUGAUGGACCGCAGUGCUCUCUCCGUACGCUCUGUGGGGUGCUCCUGAGGACAGUUUGUCAGCCUGGCUGCAGAGAUUGGAGGGCUGAUGCAUUAAUUACUGAGGUUGCUCUCCUUAUUUCGACUCUGGUGUUCUCCAGAAGGCAGCAGGAGCAGAAUCAUUAAGGUUGGAAAAGACCACUGAGAUCACCAAGUCAUCCCAUCCCCACCAUGCUCGCUAAACCACGUCCUUCAGUGCCUCCCCAGGAAUGGUGACUCCACUACCUCCAUAUUGCUUCCUCAGCCCAGCUAGUGCAGAUGAACACUGUGCCUUUGUCCUCUGAGCUACCUCUCUGCUUUGGUGCCAUUUGCAAUGAACCUGGAGAUGCUGGAGCAGAAAGUGCAAGGUACUCUCAGCCUAACUUUGCCCUUCUGUAGAUCAGACUGCACUCAUGUGAACCCUACUCUCAUCAAAUCUGUGUACAACUGAGUGAACUGGGCAGAGUAAGCAGUGGGGGACACACCUCCUCUUCAUGGCAGCCCUUCAUGUCCUGAAUAAUAAAGCACAUGUCUGUAGGUGCUCUGUUCUGAGCAAGGUUGGUGGUGUCUACAGUUCUCACUGGGG
RNAcentral lists this long non-coding RNA (1130 nucleotides) under Gallus gallus (chicken). RNAcentral's name for it is "long non-coding RNA NONGGAT004976". The record is from RNAcentral. Lineage: Eukaryota; Metazoa; Chordata; Aves; Galliformes; Phasianidae.